This 253-nucleotide ribosomal RNA is filed under the name uncultured bacterium. RNAcentral's name for it is "partial 16S ribosomal RNA". It matches the Rfam family "Bacterial small subunit ribosomal RNA", at positions 524 to 776 of the family's 1533-position model. The record is from RNAcentral.
UACGGAGGGGGCUAGCGUUGUUCGGAAUUACUGGGCGUAAAGCGCACGUAGGCGGCUUUGUAAGUUAGAGGUGAAAGCCCGGGGCUCAACUCCGGAAUUGCCUUUAAGACUGCAUCGCUAGAAUUGUGGAGAGGUAAGUGGAAUUCCGAGUGUAGAGGUGAAAUUCGUAGAUAUUCGGAAGAACACCAGUGGCGAAGGCGGAUCUCUGGGCCUGUCCUGACGCUGAGGCGCGAAAGCUAGGGGAGCGAACAGG